ACAUUAUAUUGGACACUAUUUAUAAUAAUAAUUAUUAUUAUUACAUAUUUACUUACAGUGGUGGAUUUGAGGAUAGGUUACAUGGCGUUCGGCUCCUUGCCUCUUUAGAUUCUUAUUUUAAACUGCCAUUGUGAAGUAAGUACAUCAAUAUUUAAUAGGUACUCAAGGUGGUAAGUGCAGGAGAAAGGAGGGUUCAACGGUGUAUAUUUGAACGUAAGAAAUACAAGC
Molecule: non-coding RNA, 228 nt
Organism: Cinara cedri
Lineage: Eukaryota; Metazoa; Arthropoda; Insecta; Hemiptera; Aphididae
Source: the annotation of a GenBank genome assembly